Molecule: unclassified non-coding RNA, 379 nt
Filed under: uncultured Alphaproteobacteria bacterium
Lineage: Bacteria; Pseudomonadati; Pseudomonadota; Alphaproteobacteria
Description: contains 16S-23S intergenic spacer region
Source: RNAcentral
UCCGGCUUGUCACCGGCGGUUUCUCCAGAGUGCCCAUCACUACAUGCUGGCAACUGAAGAUGGGGGUUGCGCUCGUUGCGGGACUUAACCCAACAUCUCACGACACGAGCAGACGACAGCCAUGCAGCACCUGUGCGGCGUCCGGCCGAACCGAAGGGUGGGUCUCCCCACCCGCGACGCCCAUGUCAAGGGCUGGUAAGGUUCUGCGCGUUGCUUCGAAUUAAACCACAUGCUACACCGCUUGUGCGGGCCCCCGUCAAUUCCUUUGAGUUUUAAUCUUGCGACCGUACUCCCCAGGCGGAAUGCUUAAAGCGUUAGCUGCGCCACUGAGCAGCAAGCUGCCCAACGGCUGGCAUUCAUCGUUUACGGCGUGGACUAC